UUAAGAACAGAAGCUCCAGCAUAGAUGUAAUUUACUAAUUUCCUGUAGCUACUGGGUAGCUCAGAAAGCUUUAAUCACAGGGUAUAUAUAAUUUAUAACUUUCUAUAAAAACUCAACAAGUAGGGUAUUUUCCUUCCUUUAGAAUGUAGGCAUGAAGUAACUAACUUAUUUCCUUUUCUUUAUCAAUCCUUGGACUUGGGUUUUGGUAUAUCCUUUCAGAACUACUUCAAACAGGCCUUAAA
Molecule: long non-coding RNA, 242 nt
Filed under: Bos taurus (domestic cattle)
Lineage: Eukaryota; Metazoa; Chordata; Mammalia; Artiodactyla; Bovidae
Description: long non-coding RNA NONBTAT011595
Source: RNAcentral